RNAcentral lists this ribosomal RNA (468 nucleotides) under uncultured bacterium. RNAcentral describes it as "partial 16S ribosomal RNA". It matches the Rfam family "Bacterial small subunit ribosomal RNA", at positions 28 to 507 of the family's 1533-position model. The record is from RNAcentral.
GACGAACGCUGGCGGCGUGCUUAACACAUGCAAGUCGAACGGAAAGGCCCUGCUUUUGUGGGGUGCUCGAGUGGCGAACGGGUGAGUAACACGUGAGUAACCUGCCCUUGACUUUGGGAUAACUUCAGGAAACUGGGGCUAAUACCGGAUAGGAGCUCCUGCUGCAUGGUGGGGGUUGGAAAGUUUCGGCGGUUGGGGAUGGACUCGCGGCUUAUCAGCUUGUUGGUGGGGUAGUGGCUUACCAAGGCUUUGACGGGUAGCCGGCCUGAGAGGGUGACCGGCCACAUUGGGACUGAGAAACGGCCCAGACUCCUACGGGAGGCAGCAGUGGGGAAUAUUGCACAAUGGGCGGAAGCCUGAUGCAGCAAAGCCGCGUGCGGGAUGACGGCCUUCGGGUUGUAAACCGCUUUCGCCUGUGACGAAGCGUGAGUGACGGUAAUGGGUAAAGAAGCACCGGCUAACUACGUG